CGAGACUGCCGGUAAUAAACCGGAGGAAGGUGGGGAUGACGUCAAAUCAUCAUGCCCCUUAUGACCUGGGCUACACACGUGCUACAAUGGUUGGUACAACGAGUUGCGAGUCGGUGACGGCGAGCUAAUCUCUUAAAGCCAAUCUCAGUUCGGAUUGUAGGCUGCAACUCGCCUACAUGAAGUCGGAAUCGCUAGUAAUCGCGGAUCAGCACGCCGCGGUGAAUACGUUCCCGGGCCUU
This 239-nucleotide ribosomal RNA is filed under the name uncultured Streptococcus sp. RNAcentral's name for it is "partial 16S ribosomal RNA". It matches the Rfam family "Bacterial small subunit ribosomal RNA", at positions 1144 to 1382 of the family's 1533-position model. Lineage: Bacteria; Bacillati; Bacillota; Bacilli; Lactobacillales; Streptococcaceae. The record is from RNAcentral.